Molecule: ribosomal RNA, 519 nt
Filed under: uncultured bacterium
Lineage: Bacteria
Description: bacterial SSU rRNA
Rfam family: Bacterial small subunit ribosomal RNA
Source: RNAcentral
UACACAUGCAAGUCGAGCGGUAACAUUUCUAGCUUGCUAGAAGAUGACGAGCGGCGGACGGGUGAGUAACGCGUAGGAAUCUGCCUAGUAGUGGGGGACAACAUGUGGAAACGCAUGCUAAUACCGCAUACGCCCUACGGGGGAAAGGAGGGGAUCUUCGGACCUUUCGCUAUUAGAUGAGCCUGCGUGAGAUUAGCUAGUUGGUGGGGUAAAGGCCUACCAAGGCGACGAUCUCUAGCUGGUCUGAGAGGAUGAUCAGCCACACUGGGACUGAGACACGGCCCAGACUCCUACGGGAGGCAGCAGUGGGGAAUAUUGGACAAUGGGCGCAAGCCUGAUCCAGCCAUGCCGCGUGUGUGAAGAAGGCCUUAGGGUUGUAAAGCACUUUCAGGAGUGAGGAAGGGCGUAUAGUUAAUACCUGUAUGUUUUGACGUUAACUCCAGAAGAAGCACCGGCUAACUCUGUGCCAGCAGCCGCGGUAAUACAGAGGGUGCGAGCGUCAAUCGGAAUUACUGGGCG